RNAcentral lists this ribosomal RNA (456 nucleotides) under uncultured Sneathia sp. RNAcentral's name for it is "bacterial SSU rRNA". It matches the Rfam family "Bacterial small subunit ribosomal RNA", at positions 65 to 524 of the family's 1533-position model. The record is from RNAcentral. Lineage: Bacteria; Fusobacteriati; Fusobacteriota; Fusobacteriia; Fusobacteriales; Leptotrichiaceae.
GAUGGGAGGCUAGCUUGCUAGAAGAAAUUCAUGGCGGACGGGGUGAGUAACGUAGUAAAGAACUUACCAUAUAGACUGGGAGUAACAGAGGGAAACUUCUGAUAAUACUAGAUAAAGUUAGUAGUAGCAUUACUAAGUAAUGAAAAGGUAGCAAUACGCUAUAUGAGAGCUUUUGCAUCCUAUUAGCUAGUUGGUGGGGUAAAAGCCCCUACCCAAGGCGAUGAUAGGUAGCCGGCCUGAGAGGGUGGACGGCCACAAGGGGACUGAGAUACGGCCCUUACUCCUACGGGGAGGCAGCAGUGGGGAAUAUUGGACAAUGGAGGCAACUCUGAUCCAGCAAUUCUGUGUGUGUGAAGAAGGUUUUAGGACUGUAAAACACUUUUAGUAGGGGAAGAAAGAAAUGACGGUACCUACAGAAGAAGCGACGGCUAAAUACGUGCCAGCAGCCGCGGUAAU